CAGCACAGCGCGAGCAGCAGCCAGAGCGCCCAGCGCGCGGACGUGCCCAUGGUGCCCGCCUGGAUGGUGCUGCCGCCGCCGCUCGCUCCGCACAACAAGUUACCAGCCCUUCGGAAAGGAGGAAGGAGGGAAGGAACAAAAGACGGGGAACAAACGACGUCUGUAUAUGAAGAAAUGACAGAUGACCAUGGAUUAAGUGCCAACCUUGAUGAUUUACACAAGAAGGCCAAAGCAACUCAAGGAAGAGUGAGACCCCUAGAAUCUUUCAUGGAGGCCCCACGAUUGAUACAGAGGACUGUCAUAUGAACCAGAGAGGGUACCUGAAACCAAAGAGAGGACUCUAGUGUGUAGCCAAAGGCAUGCCUCCAGGGGUGAGAAGGAGCAGAUAUCUUGACAAACAGGGCAUCAGACCAGCUGUGCGUGGUCAGCCUCUGAUUUGGGCCCAAAAGGAAAAGAAAAUCAGAGGAGACAGUGACUCUCAGACUCUUCCUUGUUAAUGAGCAAGAGUUCCCUGGAUCCAAGAGGCCUUUGCCUUCUGGCUUGCAGCUUCACAUUUGCAAGGUGGCUGCUGCACAUCUAACCUUUACACCCACAUUCCAGGCAGGAAUACUUGGAAAGAAUAAGGGGAACUAUGUAGCUGACAAAGAAUUCAUUGACUUUUCCGGGGGGAGAAAUACCUGAUUUCUGAACAUAGUCUAUAUCCUGAACAGUUUCCUAGAGAUGAUGUAACUGAUUAAUUUUUAUAAAGCACUCCAAGUGUCACAUAGUAAGUUUUGGUGUUUCCAAGUGCCUAAAGAGUCUUAUACGGUGACAAGCCACAUUGGUGUAGGACCCCCACAUUUAUGACCUCAUUUACCUUGGAGAUCCAACCAGUCCAUACUGAAGGAAACCAGUCUUGGAUAUUCAUUGGAAGGACUAAUGCUAAAGCUGAAACUCCAAUAGUUUGGCCACCUGAGGCAAGGAACUGACUC
Cervus elaphus (red deer) is the source of this 971-nucleotide long non-coding RNA. RefSeq lists it as uncharacterized. The record is from RefSeq and is a predicted model, not a curated record. NCBI's taxonomy places the organism in Eukaryota, Metazoa, Chordata, Mammalia, Artiodactyla, Cervidae. The transcript has 7 exons.